UAAGACCUGCAGGACUCUAUCCAACAUCACCUGAAUGCAACUCAAGUACUUUUAUUAAGCUAAGGCCUU
This 69-nucleotide transfer RNA is filed under the name Alytes muletensis (Mallorcan midwife toad). Its description in RNAcentral is "tRNA-Ala". Lineage: Eukaryota; Metazoa; Chordata; Amphibia; Anura; Alytidae. The record is from RNAcentral.